Molecule: ribosomal RNA, 621 nt
Filed under: Triticum aestivum (bread wheat)
Lineage: Eukaryota; Viridiplantae; Streptophyta; Magnoliopsida; Poales; Poaceae
Description: partial small subunit ribosomal RNA
Source: RNAcentral
AUGAAUUGCCUAUCGUGGAACUGUCGCGGGCUUGGGAACCCGGAGACAGUUCGAGAGCUUCACAACCUAGUGAAGCAAGAAGUGCCCGCCUUGGUCUUCUUGUGUGAGACGAAGAUCGAGGGAAGGAGAGUCAGUGAUUUGACGUCACGGUUAGGUUUUGAGGGCUGCUAUCCAGUUAGCAGCAAUGGACUAAGUGGUGGCCUGGCUUUGUUCUGGUCAAAAGAAGUGGAUGUGACCCUAAACAAUUUCUCUGACCAACACAUAGAUGUAAUGGUGAGGAAUGUGAUGGGUGAUCGAAAGUUGUGGUGGUUUACUGGUUUCUAUGCAAAAGCAAGACGAAGUGAGCGCGCCGAGAGUUGGGAACUAUUGCGUUGGCUCAACACUCAGAGUGACGCCCCAUGGCUCUGCGGGGGUGAUUUUAAUGAAAUUGUGGAUAACUCAGAGUUUUUUGGUGUACAUGAUCGCCCGGAGUGGCAAAUGGAUGGUUUUCGAGAGUGUCUUGAUGCAUGUGAUUUCCACGACCUGGGUUCCAGGGUGUUCCUUUCACUUGGGACAAUAUGCAGCAAGGCGACUCAAAUGUUAAAGUUCGCUUGGAUAGAUACAUGGCAAACCCAGCGAUAA